CGUAUCACCCAAGACAACUUUACGGAGUUGACGAUUGACGGAGCGAAGCGACGUCAAAGCGUUCAUUAAAGUCGAGUUGGCUUAGGGAUACGUUCGUUGGGUAGGGGAGCGUUCUGUAAGCCUGUGAAGGUGUGUCGUGAGGCAUGCUGGAGGUAUCAGAAGUGCGAAUGCUGACAUAAGUAACGAUAAAGCGGGUGAAAAGCCCGCUCGCCGGAAGACCAAGGGUUCCUGUCCAACGUUAAUCGGGGCAGGGUGAGUCGACCCCUAAGGCGAGGCCGAAAGGCGUAGUCGAUGGGAAACGGGUUAAUAUUCCCGUACUUGGUGUUACUGCGAAGGGGGGACGGAGAAGGCUAUGUUGGCCGGGCGACGGUUGUCCCGGUUUAAGCGUGUAGGUGUGUGUUCCAGGUAAAUCCGGUUCACUUUAACACUGAGGCGUGACGACGAGGCACUACGGUGCUGAAGCAACAAAUGCCCUGCUUCCAGGAAAAGCCUCUAAGCAUCAGGUAACACGAAAUCGUACCCCAAACCGACACAGGUGGUCAGGUAGAGAAUACCAAGGCGCUUGAGAGAACUCGGGUGAAGGAACUAGGCAAAAUGGUGCCGUAACUUCGGGAGAAGGCACGCUGACACGUAGGUGA
RNAcentral lists this ribosomal RNA (638 nucleotides) under Salmonella enterica. RNAcentral describes it as "partial 23S ribosomal RNA". It matches the Rfam family "Bacterial large subunit ribosomal RNA", at positions 1154 to 1765 of the family's 2925-position model. The record is from RNAcentral. Lineage: Bacteria; Pseudomonadati; Pseudomonadota; Gammaproteobacteria; Enterobacterales; Enterobacteriaceae. RNAcentral also lists the same sequence under 1 other name.